RNAcentral lists this ribosomal RNA (443 nucleotides) under uncultured bacterium. RNAcentral describes it as "partial 16S ribosomal RNA". It matches the Rfam family "Bacterial small subunit ribosomal RNA", at positions 338 to 795 of the family's 1533-position model. The record is from RNAcentral.
CCUACGGGAGGCAGCAGUGGGGAAUAUUGGACAAUGGGGGGAACCCUGGUCCAGCGACGCCGCGUGAGUGAAGAAGUAUUUCGGUAUGUAAAGCUCUAUCAGCAGGGAAGAAAGAAAUGACGGUACCUGACUAAGAAGCCCCGGCUAACUACGUGCCAGCAGCCGCGGUAAUACGUAGGGGGCAAGCGUUAUCCGGAUUUACUGGGUGUAAAGGGAGCGUAGACGGCGAUGCAAGUCUGAAGUGAAAGGCGGGGGCCCAACCCCCGGACUGCUUUGGAAACUGUAUGGCUGGAGUGCAGGAGAGGUAAGUGGAAUUCCUAGUGUAGCGGUGAAAUGCGUAGAUAUUAGGAGGAACACCAGUGGCGAAGGCGGCUUACUGGACUGUAACUGACGUUGAGGCUCGAAAGCGUGGGGAGCAAACAGGAUUAGAUACCCGAGUAGUC